GCUUAACACAUGCAAGUCGAGCGGUAAGGCCCUUCGGGGUACACGAGCGGCGAACGGGUGAGUAACACGUGGGUGAUCUGCCUCGCACUUCGGGAUAAGCCUGGGAAACUGGGUCUAAUACCGGAUAUGACCUUUCAGUGCAUGCUGUUUGGUGGAAAGAUUUAUCGGUGCGAGAUGGGCCCGCGGCCUAUCAGCUUGUUGGCGGGGUAACGGCCCACCAAGGCGACGACGGGUAGCCGACCUGAGAGGGUGACCGGCCACACUGGGACUGAGACACGGCCCAGACUCCUACGGGAGGCAGCAGUGGGGAAUAUUGCACAAUGGGCGAAAGCCUGAUGCAGCGACGCCGCGUGAGGGAUGACGGCCUUCGGGUUGUAAACCUCUUUCGACAGGGACGAAGCGAAAGUGACGGUACCUGUAGAAGAAGCACCGGCCAACUACGUGCCAGCAGCCGCGGUAAUACGUAGGGUGCGAGCGUUGUCCGGAAUUACUGGGCGUAAAGAGCUUGUAGGCGGUUUGUCGCGUCGUCCGUGAAAACUUGGGGCUCAACCCCAAGCUUGCGGGCGAUACGGGCAGACUUGAGUACUUCAGGGGAGACUGGAAUUC
This 606-nucleotide ribosomal RNA is filed under the name Nocardia brasiliensis. Its description in RNAcentral is "bacterial SSU rRNA". It matches the Rfam family "Bacterial small subunit ribosomal RNA", at positions 46 to 669 of the family's 1533-position model. The record is from RNAcentral. Lineage: Bacteria; Bacillati; Actinomycetota; Actinomycetes; Mycobacteriales; Nocardiaceae.